UACGUAGGGUGCGAGCGUUGUCCGGAAUUAUUGGGCGUAAAGAGCUUGUAGGCGGUUUGUCGCGUCUGCUGUGAAAAUCCGGGGCUUAACCCCGGACCUGCAGUGGGUACGGGCAGACUAGAGUGUGGUAGGGGAGACUGGAAUUCCUGGUGUAGCGGUGAAAUGCGCAGAUAUCAGGAGGAACACCGAUGGCGAAGGCAGGUCUCUGGGCCACUACUGACGCUGAGAAGCGAAAGCAUGGGGAGCGAACAGG
This 253-nucleotide ribosomal RNA is filed under the name uncultured bacterium. Its description in RNAcentral is "partial 16S ribosomal RNA". It matches the Rfam family "Bacterial small subunit ribosomal RNA", at positions 524 to 776 of the family's 1533-position model. The record is from RNAcentral.